GAGUUUGAUCAUGGCUCAGGAUGAACGCUGGCGGCGUGCUUAACACAUGCAAGUCGAACGAACCUUCGGGUUAGUGGCGGACGGGUGAGUAACGCGUGAGAAUCUGCCCUCAGGAGGGGGAUAACGGUUGGAAACGACCGCUAAUACCCCAUAUGCCGCGAGGUGAAAUGAAUUUCGCCUGAGGAUGAGCUCGCGUCUGAUUAGCUAGUUGGUGGGGUAAAGGCUUACCAAGGCAUCGAUCAGUAGCUGGUCUGAGAGGAUGAUCAGCCACACUGGGACUGAGACACGGCCCAGACUCCUACGGGAGGCAGCAGUGGGGAAUUUUCCGCAAUGGGCGAAAGCCUGACGGAGCAACGCCGCGUGAGGGAUGAAGGCCUCUGGGCUGUAAACCUCUUUUAUCAAGGAAGAAGAUCUGACGGUACUUGAUGAAUAAGCCACGGCUAAUUCCGUGCCAGCAGCCGCGGUAAUACGGGAGUGGCAAGCGUUAUCCGGAAUUAUUGGGCGUAAAGCGUCCGCAGGCGGCCCUUCAAGUCUGCUGUUAAAAAGUGGAGCUUAACUCCAUCAUGGCAGUGGAAACUGUUGGGCUUGAGUGUGGUAGGGGCAGAGGGAAUUCCCGGUGUAGCGGUGAAAUGCGUAGAUAUCGGGAAGAACACCAGUGGCGAAGGCGCUCUGCUGGGCCAUCACUGACGCUCAUGGACGAAAGCCAGGGGAGCGAAAGGGAUUAGAUACCCCUGUAGUCCUGGCCGUAAACGAUGAACACUAGGUGUCGGGGGAAUCGACCCCCUCGGUGUCGUAGCCAACGCGUUAAGUGUUCCGCCUAGGGAGUACGCACGCAAGUGUGAAACUCAAAGGAAUUGACGGGGGCCCGCACAAGCGGUGGAGUAUGUGGUUUAAUUCGAUGCAACGCGAAGAACCUUACCAGGGUUUGACAUCCUGCGAAUCUCUUGGAAACGAGAGAGUGCCUUCGGGAACGCAGUGACAGGUGGUGCAUGGCUGUCGUCAGCUCGUGCCGUGAGAUGUUGGGUUAAGUCCCGCAACGAGCGCAACCCACGUCUUUAGUUGCCAGCAUUUAGUUGGGCACUCUAGAGAGACCGCCGGUGAUAAACCGGAGGAAGGUGUGGAUGACGUCAAGUCAUCAUGCCCCUUACAUCCUGGGCUACACACGUACUACAAUGCUACGGACAAAGGGCAGCAAGUUCGCGAGGACAAGCAAAUCCCAUAAACCGUGGCUCAGUUCAGAUCGUAGGCUGCAACUCGCCUACGUGAAGGAGGAAUCGCUAGUAAUCGCAGGUCAGCAUACUGCGGUGAAUACGU
RNAcentral lists this ribosomal RNA (1314 nucleotides) under unidentified marine bacterioplankton. RNAcentral's name for it is "bacterial SSU rRNA". It matches the Rfam family "Bacterial small subunit ribosomal RNA", at positions 9 to 1371 of the family's 1533-position model. The record is from RNAcentral.